RNAcentral lists this ribosomal RNA (490 nucleotides) under uncultured fungus. Its description in RNAcentral is "eukaryotic LSU rRNA". The stretch from base 61 to 214 matches the Rfam family "5.8S ribosomal RNA". The record is from RNAcentral. Lineage: Eukaryota; Fungi.
UUUUUUAAAAAUGUUACAGGAAUGUCAUAAGCGGUUUGCUUGCAGACUUUUAAAUUAUACAACUUUCAACAACGGAUCUCUUGGCUCUCGCAUCGAUGAAGAACGCAGCGAAAUGCGAUAAGUAAUGUGAAUUGCAGAAUUCAGUGAAUCAUCGAAUCUUUGAACGCACCUUGCGCUCCUUGGUAUUCCGAGGAGCAUGCCUGUUUGAGUGUCAUUAAAUUCUCAACCAUUCCUGUGGUGACACACAUGGAGUUGGCUUGGAAGUGGGGGCUGCGGGCUUCUUUCAGAAGUCGGCUCCUCUUAAAUGCAUUAGCAGAACCUUUGUGGGCCUGCCCUUGGUGUGAUAAUUAUCUACGCUCUGGGUUGGAACACAGAUUUACAUGGGGUUCAGCUUCUAACUGUCUUUUUCACGAGACAAACUCUUUUGACAUUUUGACCUCAAAUCAGGUAGGACUACCCGCUGAACUUAAGCAUAUCAAUAAGCGGAGGA